UGGGGAAUAUUGGGCAAUGGGCGCAAGCCUGACCCAGCAACGCCGCGUGAAGGAAGAAGGCUUUCGGGUUGUAAACUUCUUUUGUCAGGGACGAACAAAUGACGGUACCUGACGAAUAAGCCACGGCUAACUACGUGCCAGCAGCCGCGGUAAUACGUAGGUGGCAAGCGUUAUCCGGAUUUAUUGGGUGUAAAGGGCGUGUAGGCGGGACUGCAAGUCAGAUGUGAAAACCACGGGCUCAACCUGUGGCCUGCAUUUGAAACUGUAGUUCUUGAGUGUCGGAGAGGCAAUCGGAAUUCCGUGUGUAGCGGUGAAAUGCGUAGAUAUACGGAGGAACACCAGUGGCGAAGGCGGAUUGCUGGACGAUAACUGACGCUGAGGCGCGAAAGCGUGGGGAGCAAACA
This 404-nucleotide ribosomal RNA is filed under the name uncultured bacterium. RNAcentral describes it as "bacterial SSU rRNA". It matches the Rfam family "Bacterial small subunit ribosomal RNA", at positions 355 to 774 of the family's 1533-position model. The record is from RNAcentral.